Molecule: ribosomal RNA, 253 nt
Filed under: uncultured bacterium
Lineage: Bacteria
Description: partial 16S ribosomal RNA
Rfam family: Bacterial small subunit ribosomal RNA
Source: RNAcentral
UACGUAGGGUGCGAGCGUUGUCCGGAAUUACUGGGCGUAAAGAGCUCGUAGGUGGUUUGUCGCGUUGUCCGUGAAAACUCACAACUCAAUUGUGGGCGUGCGGGCGAUACGGGCAGACUGGAGUACUGCAGGGGAGACUGGAAUUCCUGGUGUAGCGGUGGAAUGCGCAGAUAUCAGGAAGAACACCCGUGGCUAAGGCGGCUCUCUAGUACGGUACUGACGCUGAGACGCGAAAGCGUGGGGAGCGAACAGG